RNAcentral lists this long non-coding RNA (1037 nucleotides) under Bos indicus x Bos taurus (hybrid cattle). RNAcentral describes it as "lncRNA (ENSBIXG00005014269.1)". Lineage: Eukaryota; Metazoa; Chordata; Mammalia; Artiodactyla; Bovidae. The record is from RNAcentral.
UGUGCCAAAAUGUUUGCAAUAGUUCUAUUUGGAAUUUUUGUUGUUGUUGUUUUUUAGUCACGAAGUCAUGUCUGACUCUUUGCAACCCCAUGGAUUGUAGCCCACCAGCCUCCUCUGGCCAUGGAAUUCUCCAGGCAAGAAUAGCAGAGCAGGUUGCCAUUUCCUACUCCAAGGGAUCCUCCAGACCCAGGGACUUAACCUGAGUCUCCUGCAUUGGUAGGCGGAUUCUUUAACACUGAGCCAUCAGGGAAGCCCAUUUGGGAUUGGAAUAAAGGAUUGGAGAUACUUUAUAUUCAUUGCGAUAACUUUGAUAAAGACAGAAAAGCAUCCUCGGAAACAAGCAAAAGGAUAGGGCAGCCCUGGUGGACUCUGUGUGGGCUGCCAUCACUUCACCGUCAUCCACGGCCCCGUGAGAGACUCGCCAGAGUGUGGAACGCCCAGCAGAGCUUUUACUUUUUCAACCUUGGCUGCAACGACUGGGAAACUGGGGCGGCUGUUCUCUCUCAAGAGCAAGCUGGAAAACACCAGAAGCAAAAUCUUGAUAAACAUUCUCCUGAGGCAGCUGCAAUUCCUACCUAAGUCAUGUCUACCCCAAAAUGUGUGUUUUUAUGUGUGUUUCCUGAAAGACUUUUGAAGGUGAGGAAUUUUACAGGGCAGUUCUCCUUUCAAUAUUCUGAAUUCUGUUGUGCAGAACUUAGCCUGAUGUGCUUGACAGCCUUGGCGACAAAAAGCACUAUAUAAAUGCAUCAUCAAUAUAAUAAUAUAAAUUGAAUUAGAAUGUUCAUUCUGUUCUGCCGAGUUUCUUUCCUGAGCUGAUUAUAUCUGAAAUAGCUCUUGUUAGAGGCUUUCUCAUUAUGAGGAACUCACUGUCCUGUUCCAGCCCUCCAUCAGGUACCACCUGUUUGACAUUUUGUAUUCUUUUUUUUUUCCCUAAGUUAAGUAGCCCACAUGAGGAUUUGAAGUGCAGAGUCAUGGCAUUAGAAUUACAACCUGCUGUUUCUCCUGAUUAAGUUUUUCUGUUAGUAAGUUAAGGUUGC